RNAcentral lists this ribosomal RNA (439 nucleotides) under uncultured bacterium. Its description in RNAcentral is "partial 16S ribosomal RNA". It matches the Rfam family "Bacterial small subunit ribosomal RNA", at positions 339 to 795 of the family's 1533-position model. The record is from RNAcentral.
CUACGGGUGGCUGCAGUGAGGAAUAUUGCACAAUGGGGGGAACCCUGAUGCAGCAACGCCGCGUGGAGGAUGACGCAUUUCGGUGUGUAAACUCCUUUUAUAUGUCAAGAAAAUGACGGUAGCAUAUGAAUAAGCACCGGCUAACUCCGUGCCAGCAGCCGCGGUAAUACGGAGGGUGCAAGCGUUACUCGGAAUCACUGGGCGUAAAGGACGCGUAGGCGGGUUGGAAAGUCAGGUGUGAAAUCCUACAGCUUAACUGUAGAACUGCACUUGAAACUUCUAAUCUAGAGUAUGGGAGGGGGAGAUGGAAUUAGUGGUGUAGGGGUAAAAUCCGUAGAUAUCACUAGGAAUACCUAAAGCGAAGGCGAUCUCCUGGAACAUUACUGACACUAAGGUGUGAAAGCGUGGGGAGCAAACAGGAUUAGAUACCCUCGUAGUC